Corynebacterium glucuronolyticum ATCC 51866 is the source of this 123-nucleotide non-coding RNA. The record is from Rfam. Lineage: Bacteria; Bacillati; Actinomycetota; Actinomycetes; Mycobacteriales; Corynebacteriaceae.
UUUCAGUUGCUGUGCCGAUGUGCGUUGGAAUCCGCAGUAGCUGAAGUAAUAAUUCAGACGUCCAUCGCACCGCUUGCCUCACAGCGGUAAAUGAACACGGGAGAGAACGCUGAGCGUUACAUA